CCUACGGGUGGCUGCAGUGAGGAAUAUUGGUCAAUGGGCGCUAGCCUGAACCAGCCAAGUCGCGUGAAGGAUGACUGCCCUAUGGGUUUUAAACUUCUUUUAUAUGGGAAUAAAGUGCAGUAUGUAUACUGCUUUGCAUGUACCUUAUGACUUAGGCUCGGCUAACUCCGUGCCCGCAGCCGCGGUAAUACGGCGGAUCCGAGGGUUAUCCGGAUUUAUUGGGUUUAAAGGGAGCGUAGGCGGGUUGUUAAGUCAGUUGUGAAAGUUUGCGGCUCAAACGUAAAAUUGCAGUUGAUACUGGCAACCGUGAGUACAGGAGAGGUAGGCGGAAUGCGUGGUGUAGCGGUGAAAUGCUUAGAUAUCACGAAGAACUCCGAUUGCGAAGGCAGCCUGCUGGACUGUAACUGACGCUGAUGCUCGAAAGUGUGGGUAUCAAACAGGAUUAGAUACCCGUGUAGUC
Molecule: ribosomal RNA, 460 nt
Filed under: uncultured bacterium
Lineage: Bacteria
Description: partial 16S ribosomal RNA
Rfam family: Bacterial small subunit ribosomal RNA
Source: RNAcentral